UUUAAUGUGUUUUUGCAGAAUGAUUAUGCAGGUUGCAAUAUGACAUGUUAAUGAGCACACAUUAUGGACAAAGAGUAUAUUCAAGCAACUUUACAUCAACUAGAGUAAGCACAUUUGAUCUAACAGCCACAAUCACUAAUCAAUAAGAAAAUUGUAGAAAGGAUUGAUAUUACCUCUGUUGGAGAGAUCUUGUGAAGUAUAAUUGAC
Molecule: long non-coding RNA, 207 nt
Filed under: Lathyrus oleraceus (garden pea)
Lineage: Eukaryota; Viridiplantae; Streptophyta; Magnoliopsida; Fabales; Fabaceae
Description: Pisum sativum (pea) long non-coding RNA (PSAT_LNC005348)
Source: RNAcentral